This 576-nucleotide ribosomal RNA is filed under the name uncultured beta proteobacterium. Its description in RNAcentral is "bacterial SSU rRNA". It matches the Rfam family "Bacterial small subunit ribosomal RNA", at positions 67 to 636 of the family's 1533-position model. The record is from RNAcentral. Lineage: Bacteria; Pseudomonadati; Pseudomonadota; Betaproteobacteria.
CGGCAGCACGGGUGCUUGCACCUGGUGGCGAGUGGCGAACGGGUUGAGUAAUACAUCGGAACGUACCUUAUCGUGGGGGAUAACGCAGCGAAAGCUGUGCUAAUACCGCAUACGCCCUGAGGGGGAAAGCGGGGGAUCGAAAGACCUCGCGCGAUUAGAGCGGCCGAUGCCUGAUUAGCUUGUUGGUGGGGUAAAAGCCCACCAAGGCGACGAUCAGUAGCUGGUCUGAGAGGACGAUCAGCCACACUGGGACUGAGACACGGCCCAGACUCCUACGGGAGGCAGCAGUGGGGAAUUUUGGACAAUGGGGGCAACCCUGAUCCAGCAAUGCCGCGUGAGUGAAGAAGGCCUUCGGGUUGUAAAGCUCUUUUGUCAGGGAAGAAACACCGGCUCUAACACAGUCCGGGAAUGACGGUACCUGAAGAAUAAGCACCGGCUAACUACGUGCCAGCAGCCGCGGUAAUACGUAGGGUGCGAGCGUUAAUCGGAAUUACUGGGCGUAAAGCGUGCGCAGGCGGUUAUACAAGACAGGCGUGAAAUCCCCGGGCUUAACCUGGGAAUGGCGCCUGUGACUGU